RNAcentral lists this ribosomal RNA (422 nucleotides) under uncultured bacterium. RNAcentral's name for it is "bacterial SSU rRNA". It matches the Rfam family "Bacterial small subunit ribosomal RNA", at positions 335 to 774 of the family's 1533-position model. The record is from RNAcentral.
ACUCCUACGGGAGGCAGCAGUGGGGAAUAUUGGACAAUGGGCGAAAGCCUGAUCCAGCAAUGCCGCGUGAGUGAUGAAGGCCCUAGGGUUGUAAAGCUCUUUUACCCGGGAUGAUAAUGACAGUACCGGGAGAAUAAGCUCCGGCUAACUCCGUGCCAGCAGCCGCGGUAAUACGGAGGGAGCUAGCGUUGUUCGGAAUUACUGGGCGUAAAGCGCGCGUAGGCGGCUUUUUAAGUCAGAGGUGAAAGCCCGGGGCUCAACCCCGGAAUUGCCUUUGAAACUGGAAAGCUAGAAUCUUGGAGAGGUCAGUGGAAUUCCGAGUGUAGAGGUGAAAUUCGUAGAUAUUCGGAAGAACACCAGUGGCGAAGGCGACUGACUGGACAAGUAUUGACGCUGAGGUGCGAAAGCGUGGGGAGCAAACA